GUCAACAUUUGGAUCAUAAUUAUAUUAAAUGUGAAUCGCUGUUUUAUUCAUUUUUAAAUAUUGGUAGUAAUUUAGUUAUAUGUACUGUUUUAUGUUUAGGUAAAUUGGAACUUAAUAAAAAUAAUAUAACACAUGGACAAUUAGUUUCUUUUAUUACUUAUAGUACUAUGCUAGGUCUUGGAAUAUUUGGAAUUCUCAAACUAAAAAAAGAUAUAACUUUACUUCAAUUGAGUUUGCAUAAGAUAUAUCAAAUUUUGGAUUUUACAAAAAAAGAUUCUAUGCUUACGAAUGUGCAUACCCAUGAAAAAAAAGACGAUAACAAUAUUAUAAAUAGUGCUAACAUUAUGGAAACCAAAAAGAUAGGUAAUUUUGAAAAUGUAAUUAAUUUUGAUAAACGAAUUGUUGCUAUUAACAAUCGAGCUAGUGAUGGUGAUAUCCCUAAGAGUAUCAAAGGGACCAUUCGAUUUGAAAAUGUUUCUUUUGCAUAUAACAGUUCUGAUGAAUUUGAUAAAAAAAAUAUAUUAAGAAAUAUAAAUAUACAAAUAAAUGAAAAUGAAAAAGUAGCUAUUAUAGGUAAAAGUGGAGCAGGCAAAUCUACUUUAAGGAAAUUAUUAACAGCCGAAUUUAAUUUUGAAGGUACUAUAUAUAUAGAUAAUUAUAAUAUACAAAAUAUAAACAAAACUUAUUUAAAAAAAAAUAUCAUUUCAUUUUUUGAGCAAGAAUGUAACCUUUUAAGUAGAUCUUUAUAUGAAAAUCUAGUUUAUUCCAUAGUACCUAUAAAAAUAAAAAAUGACUAUUAUUUGUCGAAACUAAUAUUUGAUAACCCUUAUAUAAAUAAGAAUAUGCUCACAAAGAUACUGGCAAGGGGUAAUUAUAAUAAUGCUAGGGUUAACAAUAACAAUGGUAGUAAUUUUAGUAACGAAUACAUAAUCAACCAUAAUGAUUUAAACCUUUUAUCAAACCAAAUGAAAGUAUUAUUAAUAUUACAAUAUGAUGCACAGUUUUUAAAUGAACUUCCAAAAAAUAGUAAUAUUAUACAAAUGAAAAAAAAAUUUAAUUCGUUUUUGAAUUCAUAUAUUGAAAAUAAUGAUGAUUUUUUUACGAAAGAAGAGAAGAAAGUUAUAAGCGAAAGGGUAAAAAAUAUUUUGGUUGAUAAGUGUGGUAUCACUGGUACUAUUAGUAGUGAUGUGCAAAAUGUUAGAACAUUAGACAGUACCAAA
This 1220-nucleotide long non-coding RNA is filed under the name Piliocolobus tephrosceles (Ugandan red Colobus). Its description in RNAcentral is "lncRNA (ENSPTEG00000013940.1)". Lineage: Eukaryota; Metazoa; Chordata; Mammalia; Primates; Cercopithecidae. The record is from RNAcentral.